RNAcentral lists this long non-coding RNA (364 nucleotides) under Elaeis guineensis (African oil palm). Its description in RNAcentral is "long non-coding RNA (EGUI_LNC078918)". Lineage: Eukaryota; Viridiplantae; Streptophyta; Magnoliopsida; Arecales; Arecaceae. The record is from RNAcentral.
CAGUGGUGUGAGUGGUCCUUUGACCUGUGGUGCCAUUGGCUAUUUGCAGCAAGGCUAUUGGGUUUGACUACACAUUUUCUUGAUCCCUAGCCAUUCGGAUCCUUGCUAUGUAUGUUGAUUUCAGUAGGUUCAGAUUCACUAUUUGGAGUAGAAUGUACCUAGAUAGAAUCUAUCGAUCUUGGUAGAAAAAGAGAAGUCCUAUGCGAUAUGUAAGACUGAGUUCGGAAAGUUUUUGGCCAAAGUAAAUGUGAAUACUGAAAAAGAAUUUUCACGAGAUUCAUAAAAAAACUCGAGUCGAGCCAAUCUAGCAUAUGACUGAUGAUGGGGUUUGACGAGUUCUACAUGACCUCUGUCAAGUCAGGAC